Molecule: unclassified non-coding RNA, 348 nt
Filed under: soil metagenome
Description: partial contains 5.8S ribosomal RNA, internal transcribed spacer 2, and large subunit ribosomal RNA
Rfam family: 5.8S ribosomal RNA (bases 1-120)
Source: RNAcentral
GAUGAAGAACGUAGUGAAAUGCGAUAAGUAAUGUGAAUUGCAGAAUUCAGUGAAUCAUCGAAUCUUUGAACGCACAUUGCGCCCGCCAGUAUUCUGGCGGGCAUGCCUGUCCGAGCGUCAUUUCAACCCUCGCGCUCAUCUGGGCUGCGGUGUUGGGGACCGGCCUGCCCCCCGGGGCGCGCCGCCCCCCAAAUUCAGUGGCGGUCUCGCUGCAGCCUCCCUUGCGUAGUAGCACACCUCGCACCGGAGCGCAGCGCGGCCACGCCGUAAAACCCCCGACCCCCAUGAGUUUGACCUCGGAUCAGGUAGGAAUACCCGCUGAACUUAAGCAUAUCAAUAAGCGGAGGA